GGAGUUUGGACCGUGUCUCAGUUCCAAUGUGGGGGACCUUCCUCUCAGAACCCCUACUGAUCGUCGGCUUGGUGGGCCGUUACCCCACCAACUAGCUAAUCAGACGCGGGUCCAUCCUAUACCACCGGAGUUUUUCACACUGCUUCAUGCGAAGCUGUGCGCUUAUGCGGUAUUAGCAGCUGUUUCCAACUGUUAUCCCCCUGUAUAGGGUAGGUUACCCACGCGUUACUCACCCGUCCGCCACUCAGUCACCUCAAGGCGAAUCAAUCAGAAGCAAGCUUCAUCAAUCUUCAAUUAGAGGUGCUUCGUUCGACUUGCAUGUGUUAAGCACGCCGCCAGCGUUCAUC
Molecule: ribosomal RNA, 347 nt
Filed under: uncultured Lachnospiraceae bacterium
Lineage: Bacteria; Bacillati; Bacillota; Clostridia; Lachnospirales; Lachnospiraceae
Description: partial 16S ribosomal RNA
Source: RNAcentral